RNAcentral lists this ribosomal RNA (465 nucleotides) under uncultured bacterium. RNAcentral's name for it is "partial 16S ribosomal RNA". It matches the Rfam family "Bacterial small subunit ribosomal RNA", at positions 338 to 795 of the family's 1533-position model. The record is from RNAcentral.
CCUACGGGAGGCAGCAGUGGGGAAUAUUGCGCAAUGGGCGAAAGCCUGACGCAGCGACGCCGCGUGAGGGAUGAAGGUCUUCGGAUCGUAAACCUCUGUCAGCAGGGAAGAACGGUCACUGUGCUAAUCAGCAGUGAAUUGACGGUACCUGCAAAGGAAGCACCGGCUAACUCCGUGCCAGCAGCAGCGGUAAUACGGAGGGUGCGAGCGUUAAUCGGAAUUACUGGGCGUAAAGCGAUCGUAGGCGGUAUGUCAAGUCAAGGGUGAAAUCCCCGCGCUCAACGUGGGAACUGCAUUUGAUACUGGCAAACUGGAGUGUGUGAGAGGAUAGUGGAAUUCGAGGUGUAGGAGUGAAAUGCGUAGAUAUCUGGAGGAACAUCAGUGGCGAAGGCGACUAUCUGGCACAUAACUGACGCUGAGGAGCGAAAGCGUGGGUAGCAAACAGGAUUAGAUACCCGAGUAGUC